AAGGGCACCACAAGAACGCGUGGAGCAUGUGGCUUAAUUUGACUCAACGCGGGAAAUCUUACCGGGUCCGGACAUACUGAGGAUUGACAGGCAAUUGAUGAUUGUAUUGGCCUUAAAACCAAUCUGUCAUCGCUAAAUAUGCUAGUCCUUUCAUGAUUGUGUGAUAGGUGGUGCAUGGCCGUUCUUAGUUCGUGGAGUGAUCUGUCUGCUUAAUUGCGUUUCACUUAUUAAGGUCAUAAAAAGCUGUAUUGUCUUGCUGUGUCCUCUAACCUUCAUUGGUUAGUGUUUGAUGCGCGGACGCUUGCAGUAUACGUGGCCUGAAGGCAACGAACGUGACCGCAGCCUCUUGUUGCCUCUUUCAAAGUGCUUUUACCCUGCAUUUUUGUAGAGUAAUUUGCGCCAAUAGAGGCUAACUAGAGGGACCGCUUGGCAUUUUUUAAACAGAGGAAGGUUGCGGCAAUAACAGGUCUGUGAUGCCCUUAGAUGUUCCGGGCUGCACACGUGCUACAAUGAUUGUUGCAGUGAGCAUCUCGAAUUGUUAAAAAUAACCUGUUUGAUUCAUUUCGAACGGUUAUAAGCCUACUUCGAAAGUCAGUAGGUAAUCAAUUCGAAGUAACGAUUUCCACCCGCAUAUAUUUAUGUCUCGAUGCAGUGUGGCGUUCUUUGUCUUUCAUUAGUCAAUAUUGCCAUACUCUUUGAUGACAUGUGCUCCAUUAAUUCUUGGUGGGGACAGACCAUUGUUAAUUGUUGGUCUCGGUCUCAACUAGGAAUGCCUUGUACGGGUCUUUGGUUCAACAAACCACCCGGAAUAUGUCCCUGCCCUUUGUACACACCGCCCGUCGCUCUUACCGAUGGACUUCUCUGUGAGUUUGAGGGACUGGCUCUUUUAUUUUCAUUAAUAUUAGAGCUAUGGAAACUUAAACGAACAGUGUGGUCUAAAGGAAAGAGAAGUCGUAACAAGGCAUCGGUAGGUGAACCUGCAGAAGGAUCA
RNAcentral lists this ribosomal RNA (991 nucleotides) under Foraminifera environmental sample. RNAcentral's name for it is "bacterial SSU rRNA". It matches the Rfam family "Eukaryotic small subunit ribosomal RNA", at positions 1160 to 1828 of the family's 1831-position model. The record is from RNAcentral. Lineage: Eukaryota; Foraminifera.